Molecule: long non-coding RNA, 436 nt
Filed under: Malus domestica (apple)
Lineage: Eukaryota; Viridiplantae; Streptophyta; Magnoliopsida; Rosales; Rosaceae
Description: long non-coding RNA (MDOM_LNC016754)
Source: RNAcentral
CCUAACCUGAUUUUCUAAGGUUUUUGGGGCCUAUAAAUACAUGUUUACACCCCUUGGCCAAAGAAGAAUCCCCCAUAUUCAUCAUUUUAUAACAGAAAUUCGUCCAUACACACCCUAGGAAGCAAAACACCCUAAAAACACCAUUCUAGUGCCUAGAAAACAUAACAGCCACUCCACCUUCUUCCACCCUCUUUGCCUAGUUCUCCACCACCUUCCAACCAUCAAACACUCUUCCACACUCACCCUAAACCCCUCCAUAUCAUUCCCCAUCCAUUCUACACCAUAAAUCCACCCAAAAAUCUGUCCACAAGCUUCAUGCCGCAACAAGGAGGAAGGGAGAUCCAUUGAUGCACUUGCUUUCCAAGUUGGAGCAUUUUAGGUGUUUUCUUUCCUUUGAUUUUAAUGUCUAAUUUUAUGUAUCUUUGUAUUGCAAGAA